Long non-coding RNA from Harpia harpyja (harpy eagle), 697 nucleotides. RefSeq lists it as uncharacterized. The record is from RefSeq and is a predicted model, not a curated record. The transcript is spliced from 3 exons. NCBI's taxonomy places the organism in Eukaryota, Metazoa, Chordata, Aves, Accipitriformes, Accipitridae.
UAUAGGAGCAAAUUUUCUCAGCUGGACUCAAAAUCCACUGGACCAUGAUACAGCCUUAAAUUAUCCCUUUGGGGAUUCAUAAAUCUUUGGUUAAUUUGACCAGAGAUCCCCUCCAGGGGGAUAAUACUUCUAAUGGAAUUGACAAAACAAGUGGAAAAUGUCUUUUCCAGUCAGAUUCACACAAUUCCUGACUCAGGAGGAAUGAAGACACAACUGAGAGCUCAAGGAAAGCAGUUCUCUUGAGGUUUCUCAGGAACUGGAAGCUGGAAUAAUCAUCCUAGUCUUCAAAAGGAGAUGCCACAUCUCUCCAGCUUCUCACGAAGUCAUCUGGAGUCAGAAAAACUCUGCAGCUCUCAGUGUUCAGCCUUUGCAUUAGGACUCAUGGGUCUUCAGCCUUUGGGGAAGGCAUGACCCACCAGCACUAUGGCAGAGCCCCUUGAAACACAAGCACGUGUCUCAUCGAAGGAGAAGAGACAAAUCAGUGACUCGAGGAAAGGUUUGUUCGCUCUCUGAGUGAUUUGGGAAGGCAGAGAAGAAUGCUGUUGGGGAGUUCUUGGCACGAAUUUACAGCAUGAAGACAACAGCCUGCAAUGCAAGUUGGGAAAUAUUUAGAAAAUUUGAAAACAGAUUGUGUUAUAUUGUUCCUGUCUCAAACGAUGUGUGGACGGUGUUCACCUCCCUGCAGGAGGGAAGGGGG